UAAGAAAUAAGAAGAAACUAUGUUUUAUUGCUACAAUUUAUUAAUGGAUGUCUGGACUGUUUUUUGGAUUGCAAAAGGAAAGGUUAUUUUGAAAGCGUGUCUUGUCAGAUGUUGCCAGGGGGGAAAGGUGAAAUGUGUGCUUAAGUUGUGAAAGAGGAAGUCUUAUAUGUGUUAACUUUUAUCAUAGACAAGCGAUAUUUUAGCGAAGUAAGACACAUGACUGUGGUCAAGUCAUCUGUUAGAAAGAUCAUGGGAUGCUUAAACUUUUGAACCUUAAAUUUGUCAGUUAUGCUAGAAUUUAGC
Molecule: non-coding RNA, 303 nt
Organism: Pelobates cultripes (western spadefoot toad)
Lineage: Eukaryota; Metazoa; Chordata; Amphibia; Anura; Pelobatidae
Source: the annotation of a GenBank genome assembly